UACGUAGGGUGCGAGCGUUGUCCGGAAUUAUUGGGCGGAAAGGGCUCGUAGGCGGUCUGUCACGUCGGGCGUGAAAACUCAGGGCUUAACCCUGAGCCUGCUUCCGAUACGGGCAGACUAGAGGUAUGCAGGGGAGAAUGGAAUUCCUGGUGUAGCGGUGAAAUGCGCAGAUAUCAGGAGGAACACCAGUGGCGAAGGCGGUUCUCUGGGCAUUACCUGACGCUGAGGAGCGAAAGUGUGGGGAGCGAACAGG
Molecule: ribosomal RNA, 253 nt
Filed under: uncultured bacterium
Lineage: Bacteria
Description: partial 16S ribosomal RNA
Rfam family: Bacterial small subunit ribosomal RNA
Source: RNAcentral